UAACUACAACCUUCUUCCUCCUCUGCUUCCCAUUCGCGUGGCCUUGAAGGAACAAAGGCUAAGUCAGUGUCUACCUUGUCCGAGUUCUUCACGGAAAUUUCAUGUCCAUGGCCCCUGUGAGGGUGAUCCUUGGCUUGCAGAGAGCAGUAUCAGUUUGGAAGGAAAGUAACAGACUGGCUCCAUCUUUGAGAUCAUUCAGCACCACAACCACCACCACCGGAAAAGACUCAUUUCGGUGGUCUCAAGGACGAAGACCGGAUCUUCACCAACCUCUACGGUCUCCACGACCCUUUUCCUCAGAGGAGCCAUGAAGAGAGGUGACUGGCACAGGACCAAAGACUUGGUGCUCAAAGGUACCGACUGGAUCGUCGACGAGAUGAAAAGGUCUGGUCUCCGUGGACGCGACGGUGCUGGUUUCCCUUCAGGUUUUGAAUCUUGAGAAGGCCAGGAGAGAGGCCUAUGCGGCUGGUCUGUUGGAGAAGAAUGCUUGUGGCUUUGGUUAUGACUUCAAUGUUUAUAUCCACUUCGGCGCUGGUGCGUACAUUGAUAUGUUUACAAGCAUGAGAGCUGUGGGCAGUGUACACCUUGUAGGGAAGGGACGGGUUGGCUUUGGAUGAUCAUGGAGAGGAUGAAAGUUGGGAAUGCGAAGCUGGAAGAGAUUGAUAUGCUACAGGAGGUGACCAAACAGAUCGAAGGGCACACGAUCUGUGCGUUGGGGGAUGCUGCUGCGUGGCCUGUGCAAGGUUUGAUAAGACAUUUUAGGCCGGAGCUUGAGAGAAGGAUUAGGGAACGUGCUGAAAGGGAGUUGCUACAGGCUGCUGCUUAGAAGGCUUUGUUAAGACAGGGAAGUUGCUAUUAUUCUCCAUGGAAAUAAAAAAAUCUGAAGAACACUAUUAGAGUUUUUGAAGGUAAUGUAUUCGUGUUAAAACGUUUAAUGUAAAACUUGAUUCAAGUUGUAUCAGACAGAAAGAGCUCUCACUCUUGUUUCUUCAUUGUUUGCUUGUUUACUUAUGACUACUAUAUGAGAGCACAUUUUGGGAACAAUCAAACAAAACCGUCUUCAUGUUUGAAAUAAAGGAGUGCUCC
Brassica oleracea var. oleracea is the source of this 1086-nucleotide long non-coding RNA. RefSeq lists it as uncharacterized. NCBI's taxonomy places the organism in Eukaryota, Viridiplantae, Streptophyta, Magnoliopsida, Brassicales, Brassicaceae. The record is from RefSeq and is a predicted model, not a curated record. The transcript has 3 exons.